RNAcentral lists this ribosomal RNA (300 nucleotides) under uncultured Prauserella sp. Its description in RNAcentral is "bacterial SSU rRNA". The stretch from base 52 to 300 matches the Rfam family "Bacterial small subunit ribosomal RNA", at positions 547 to 795 of the family's 1533-position model. The record is from RNAcentral. Lineage: Bacteria; Bacillati; Actinomycetota; Actinomycetes; Pseudonocardiales; Pseudonocardiaceae.
UGGAUCGUCUGCGGAGAGACGGGGGUGUAACGGAGGGUAGAGGCGAGUGUCGGAAGUACAGGGCGUAAGGCGACCGCAGGCGGUCUGGCAGGUCGGAUGUGAAAUCCCCGGGCUCAACCUGGGAACGGCAUUCGAAACUGGCAGGCUAGAGUCUUGUAGAGGGAGGUAGAAUUCCAGGUGUAGCGGUGAAAUGCGUAGAGAUCUGGAGGAAUACCGGUGGCGAAGGCGGCCCCCUGGACAAAGACUGACGCUCAGGUGCGAAAGCGUGGGGAGCAAACAGGAUUAGAUACCCUAGUAGUC